GGGAGUAGUUCAAUGGUAGAACUUCAGCCUUCCAAGCUGAUUGUGCGGGUUCGAUUCCCGUCUCCC
This 66-nucleotide transfer RNA is filed under the name uncultured Stenotrophomonas sp. It matches the Rfam family "tRNA". From Rfam's summary of the family: Transfer RNA (tRNA) molecules are approximately 80 nucleotides in length. Lineage: Bacteria; Pseudomonadati; Pseudomonadota; Gammaproteobacteria; Lysobacterales; Lysobacteraceae. The record is from RNAcentral.